CCUACGGGAGGCAGCAGUAGGGAAUAUUGCUCAAUGGGGGAAACCCUGAAGCAGCAACGCCGCGUGGAGGAUGAAGGUUUUAGGAUUGUAAACCCCUUUUGUUAGAGAAGAUUAUGACCGUAUCUAACGAAUAAGCACCGGCUAACUCUGUGCCAGCAGCCGCGGUAAUAUGGAGGGUGCAAGCGUUAUUCGGAAUCACUGGGCGUAAAGAGUGCGUAGGCGGGGUAAUAAGUCAGAUGUGAAAUCCUCGAGCUUAACUUCGGAACUGCAUUUGAAACUGUUACUCUGGAGUGUGGGGGAGGUAGGUGGAAUUCGUGGUGUAGGGGUGAAAUCCGUAGAGAUGAAGAGGAAUACUCGUUGCGAAGGCGACCUGCUGGAACGUAACUGACGCUGAUGCGCGAAAGCGUGGGGAGCGAACAGGAUUAGAUACCCUAGUAGUC
Molecule: ribosomal RNA, 440 nt
Filed under: uncultured bacterium
Lineage: Bacteria
Description: partial 16S ribosomal RNA
Rfam family: Bacterial small subunit ribosomal RNA
Source: RNAcentral